CCAAUAGCGUAUAUUAAAGUUGUUGCAGUUAAAAAGCUCGUAGUUGGAUUUCUGGACGGAGCGACCGGUCCGCUGCUGUGCAGUGUGUACUCGUGUCUGACUCUGUUCAUCCUUGCAGGGAAGCGCAUUUCGGCAUUCAGUUGUCGAGGCGGGGAACUGCAUCUUUUACUGUGAAAAAAUUAGAGUGUUUAAAGCAGGCAUUUUGCUGUGAAUACAUUAGCAUGGAAUAAUAACAUAGGACCUUGUUUCUAUUUUGUUGGUUGGAGAACUAGGUAAUGAUUAAUAGGGACAGUUGGGGGUAUUCAUAUUUAAUUGUCAGAGGUGAAAUUCUUGGAUUUAUGAAAGAUGAACUCAUGCGAAAGCAUUUACCAAGGAUGUUUUCAUUNA
RNAcentral lists this ribosomal RNA (387 nucleotides) under uncultured eukaryote. Its description in RNAcentral is "partial 18S ribosomal RNA". It matches the Rfam family "Eukaryotic small subunit ribosomal RNA", at positions 591 to 976 of the family's 1831-position model. The record is from RNAcentral.